AUGAAGAGGUAAGUGGCAGUAUCAUAGCUAAUGAGGUUAAUCUGAGGCGUGAUUAUUGCUAGUUGAAAACUUCCUUAUUCACUUUCUCCACACC
RNAcentral lists this small nuclear RNA (94 nucleotides) under Chelonoidis abingdonii (Abingdon island giant tortoise). RNAcentral's name for it is "U4 spliceosomal RNA (ENSCABG00000016440.1)". The stretch from base 12 to 94 matches the Rfam family "U4 spliceosomal RNA", at positions 11 to 95 of the family's 138-position model. Rfam says of the family: U4 small nuclear RNA (U4 snRNA) is a component of the major U2-dependent spliceosome. The structure of U4 snRNA from yeast and human has been reported. U4 snRNA presents a k-turn RNA motif in the 5p-SL related to recognition of Snu13 protein. The record is from RNAcentral. Lineage: Eukaryota; Metazoa; Chordata; Testudines; Testudinidae.